This 405-nucleotide ribosomal RNA is filed under the name uncultured bacterium. RNAcentral's name for it is "bacterial SSU rRNA". It matches the Rfam family "Bacterial small subunit ribosomal RNA", at positions 930 to 1349 of the family's 1533-position model. The record is from RNAcentral.
UAGCGGAGCGUGUGGUUUAAUUCGAUAUUACACGGAGAACCUUACCAGGGUUUGACAUGCAGGUGGUAGUGAAGCGAAAGCGGAACGACUCUUCGGAGAGCCUGCACAGGUGCUGCAUGGCUGCCGUCAGCUCGUGUCGUGAGAUGUUCGGUUAAGUCCGCUAACGAGCGCAACCCCUGCCGUGUGUUACAAGUGUCACACGGGACUGCCGGUCUUAAGCCGGAGGAAGGUGGGGAUGACGUCAAGUCAGCAUGGCCUUUAUAUCCUGGGCUACACACACGCUACAAUGGGUGGUACAACAGGUUGCGAAACCGCGAGGUGGAGCCAAUCCUCAAAGCCAUCCUCAGUUCAGAUUGUAGGCUGCAACUCGCCUGCAUGAAGAUGGAGUUGCUAGUAACCGCAUAA